RNAcentral lists this unclassified non-coding RNA (348 nucleotides) under soil metagenome. Its description in RNAcentral is "partial contains 5.8S ribosomal RNA, internal transcribed spacer 2, and large subunit ribosomal RNA". The stretch from base 5 to 119 matches the Rfam family "5.8S ribosomal RNA", at positions 40 to 154 of the family's 154-position model. The record is from RNAcentral.
GAUGAGAACGUAGCGAAAUGCGAUAAGUAAUGUGAAUUGCAGAAUUCAGUGAAUCAUCGAAUCUUUGAACGCACAUUGCGCCCACCAGUAUUCUGGUGGGCAUGCCUGUUCGAGCGUCAUUUCAACCCUUAAGCCCUGGUUGCUUAGCGUUGGGAGCCUACCGGACCCCGUCCCGUAGCUCCCCAAAGUCAGUGGCGGAGCCGGUUUAACACUCCAGACGUAGUAGCUUUUACACAUCGCCUGUAGCCUAAGCCCGGCGCCCUGCCGUAAAACACCCCCCAAUGUAUAGGUUGACCUCGGAUCAGGUAGGAAUACCCGCUGAACUUAAGCAUAUCAAUAAGCGGAGGA